This 231-nucleotide long non-coding RNA is filed under the name Elaeis guineensis (African oil palm). Its description in RNAcentral is "long non-coding RNA (EGUI_LNC078249)". Lineage: Eukaryota; Viridiplantae; Streptophyta; Magnoliopsida; Arecales; Arecaceae. The record is from RNAcentral.
GGCACGGUCCCAUACCGGACCGGACCAGUGCGAACUGACAAAGGGAGGAAGGGAUGAAUCAGGGAGGAGGAAGGGAGAGAGGAAAAGAGAGGAAGAGAAAGAGAGAGGAGGGAAAGGAAGUUGAGGCAGCGGAGAUGCCGCCGGUGGCCACCUAAGGGCUAUGUGGGCCCUCAAAGGGCUACGGUGCCACCAUGGCUCCACAUCGUCCGUGGGAGAAAAGAGAGAAGAGAG